CAAAUUCAUUCAUCUUCUUCAACAAGAACAAAGAAUUCCAUAAGGCUGAAACUAAAAAAAAAAAAAUCACAAAAUUAUUUAAGAAACAUGUUUAACAAUUUUUUAGAGGGACUUAACAAGUUUUUAGGGGAAUCAACAAAAUCCAUAAACUUGAUGGAUUCAUCAAACAACAACACGAGAACAACAAGUUUUGUCUACUUUUAAAUUUGUCCAUAACACAAAUUCACAGAAACAAGAACAACAACACAAGAACAACAGCAUCCAUAAAAAGUUCAUCAACAUCCAUCAAAUCACAGUUUCGAAUCUGAAACAGAGUAAAAGUUCAUGAAUCUGAAUUCGACUCAAGGGAUUUACAAUUCGAAAAUUCAUCCAACUCAAGGGAUUUAAGAAUCAAAAUAAAAAGGAUUUAAGACAAAGAAAACUUGAUGGCAAAAUUGAAAAGGGAUUUGAUGAGUGGACUGUUGCUUUUCUGAGAAAUUGAAA
This 483-nucleotide long non-coding RNA is filed under the name Trifolium pratense (red clover). RNAcentral's name for it is "long non-coding RNA (TPRA_LNC008190)". Lineage: Eukaryota; Viridiplantae; Streptophyta; Magnoliopsida; Fabales; Fabaceae. The record is from RNAcentral.